UGGGCUGCAGCGCCGGGGCUACCUCUUGGGGUGGAUACGGCUGGAGAGGAGCCAGAGCCCGUGCGCUGCCUCCUCCCAGCACGGGGCGGCUCCUGCUGCCUGCUCCUACCCCUGCCCCGGGGGCAGCCCGAGCCUCGGUCCCCUCCCGGCGGCGGGGAAGGGCAGGGCGUCCUCACUUCGUCCUCGGGAGAGAGCUGAUGAGGAGCUGGGGAGCGCCGGACAGAGCACCGUGCCGAAAGUACAGCAGUCUGCACAGCUGGAGAGCAGCAGUGUCUCCCUGUGUCCUAGAAGAACGUGCUCGCUGCAUGGGGACGUUUACUGCUCAGAGCGUCUCUGAAAACGCCAGUGUUUCUUGCCACCCUUCAGGCUCUUCUGAUCCUGGCUGAGCCCUGCCGGUCAAGAUUUCAUGGAGCUUAAUGGUCUGGGAGCUGCAUUUGUCCUACAAAGUUGUUCUACUUCUGAAGGUGUUCGGUGAGAUCCUAUUCUGACAAGUUUUAGCUGGAACUCAUGAAGAGUUCAUCUUGCUGAAAUCCCUUAUGCAGAGAAAUGCCUCAAAGGACUCAAUCUAUAAGGUGGGAAGAAAAACUGGCUGCAAAAAUGAGAUGGUUCUGAAGGUGCUGGCAAAAGAGAGCAUAAAAUGCUGCCUCCGGACAGGUGGAGGGUGGCAAACUACCAGCUGUGUCCCUCAUGUGACUAGAAUCUUGCAAAAUAGCAUUCCAGGUAUAAGGAGCUGAAGCAUUUUCUAAAUCACUUGGCUUGGAGUUUGUUUAAACAGAC
Molecule: non-coding RNA, 777 nt
Organism: Coturnix japonica (Japanese quail)
Lineage: Eukaryota; Metazoa; Chordata; Aves; Galliformes; Phasianidae
Source: RefSeq, a predicted model, not a curated record